UGUGAGUCCCCUGUGCACUCUUGAAUAAACGCAUUAUCUUUAGAGAGUCUGUCUGUUAUUUGGGUUGACAAGAUGUUUGUGGAUCUUAUGGUCUGAGCAUUCUCUCUAUUGCAAUAGUCCUCCUCUCCCUAUUGUAGUAGUACCUGUCUCCCAUUUGCAAUUGUCCUUUUGAAUAAAGCCUGUCUUAUCUUUGUCUGAGUUUAUUUUUUAUUUGACAACUCAAGUAGCUUCACAGUGAUGCAAGGCAAGCAAGCCCCAAAGUGGAGCUUAGCCCAUGAGGGUUUCUGGCUUUGCCCAGGAAAGACUUCAAAGACAAGGCAGGGGUAGAAGAAAAAAACACCUUUGAAGAGGUGGUGUUACAGCUCUGUAACUGUUCCUGCAGAGAAGGGCUAUCCUGUAGGCAGAGAGUAGAAGCUCAGGGCAGUUUUGCAUUCAUAUUUACACCCAUUUUUAAUCGCGUGCAGAUUAAGAGGUGGCUUAUGCAGAACUUUCUUGGGAAGGAGUAGUACUUUGGGAUCAUUGGGUUACUGCCAUGGAAAGGUGCAGGAACUCCUGGGUGUUGCCAUGGCAAUGAUAAAUUGACAUGGCACACUGGUGGGUGAGUCUGACUGAAAGCCGCAUCCACCUGGCUCUGUUUUAGUUAGUCCUCAAUCUGGUCGAGUGUCCGACCCCACCUCUGGAGUCAAGUCCUGCCUCCUACCUCAGCAGUUCCAUCCCACUCCUAUUGCAACGGGUUGGAGAGCACUGACUAGAGAGACAACCUAAAAUUUCUAACUUGAAUCUUCUAACCUGAAUCGUAUCUUCUAUAAGCACCUCUCAAAAAAAAAAAAAAAAAGGAGUUGUAAAGAGACACUUUUACAUGUAAAAGAAGUAAAAGUUAAACACGUCAAUAUUUAAGACUUUAAUUUUUUCUCCAACAUUCUCUGAGGGCUUUCUGUGGAUGGUAGAUUGUUCUCCCACCCCCAAACACAUUGCAGACUUUUAAUUGGAAUAGAUAGGUCAGAUGUAGGAGACCCAAGUACGAAGGCAUCGAGGUCAGAAGACCUCCGAGACUCCUAGAGCGGUCGGCGAGGGGCCUGCACGGCGCCCUGGCAGCACUUCCGGGGCGGCCCAUCUUCCCUGGGUACUUAAGCUCGCGGGAGGACCUUAAGGGCACGCGCGUCGCGGUGGCGGUGUUUCAUUGCUGUGCGGGGCUGGGGGCCCCGUGGCCUCUGUUGACCACUCCCUGCCUGUCCAGGAGCCACAGAAGUUCAGGAGGUGUCCCAGGGCAGGCCCUCAACAGAGUGAGGAUUAUGAAACCAAAUCAGAUAUCAAGGAGUCGGUUCCAAAGCAGGAAGUAUGAGAAGAAACAGAGAUACACUGAGCCACCUCCAGAGCACUCUGGAAUAAUGAUUCCCAAGAAUGCAAGAUUGGAGCACUCAAAAAUUGGGAAGACAGUUUGAAUAUUCCUC
This is a long non-coding RNA of Papio anubis (olive baboon), 1451 nucleotides long. The record is from Ensembl. Lineage: Eukaryota; Metazoa; Chordata; Mammalia; Primates; Cercopithecidae.